This is a long non-coding RNA of Dermacentor andersoni, 2762 nucleotides long. RefSeq lists it as uncharacterized. Lineage: Eukaryota; Metazoa; Arthropoda; Arachnida; Ixodida; Ixodidae. The record is from RefSeq and is a predicted model, not a curated record.
GCCUGGGGCGCGCACGCCCCAUCUGCUCAGCCCAAGCCCACUUUGCCUGCAUUCGCAAAGUUUGGGCGCGUGUAAGCUUUUCGUUGUUUUUUCCCUGGAUGGCACGCGAUAGUUUCUUUAAUACGUGUAAUGUGUGGCGCCUGUGCCUUGCUGCUGUUUCGCCUGGAAGAAAGGCAGUGAUGUGAAGAAGGACGCUUCAUUGCAGCGAUGAUAUGGCUGGUCGUGAAAAUGCUGUCAGGAAAAUGCAUUCAAAGAACAGGAAACAGAGCGUUGAUGUGACCAAGCACAGAUUCUUGUUCUGAAGGGGAUGUUAUUAUGGACAGCCAACUUCCGUUGCUUAUCAUGUGGUGAAGUGCAUAUUUCCCACUCAAAGUGCUGUACAGGUGCCAUGGGGGAUCAAGUGAAGUGACCCCCUGUUUUGAGUUUCUCCCCUGCCAAUAAUUUACUUGUAGCACAGAGAGAAAGACACGCUAUCUUUCGUACAAAAAGGUGCCUGCAAUAGUAUGACUCUCGCCUGCUACUCCACCCAUUCCUUUUACUUAUUGACAAAGUGCAACUCAUUGCUUUAGUUAUUAUAGCUACUGGGAGAGUUCAUAUUGAAGACAGUGAGAAGGGUUGGAGAGCCAGUGGCAAGAGAAGCCCUCAUAGCAUUUCAUAUCAAGAAAUUGGGAAAUGUAUGUCAGCAACACAUCACUUCCAUUGUACAACCCGGAAAUUGCUCUCCAGCAUGCUGUAGUAUAAGGAAGAAUACCCAUGUGCACCUCCAGUGUUAUAAAAAAAAAAAAUACUGAUGUUUAAAGCAAAACCACCGUAUGAUUAAGUGGCACGCCAUAGUGAAUGGCUUGCAAUUACUUUUGACGAUUUAGUUUUUUUCUCAACAUUCAUUACAAUGCAGGCACCAUAUGGAUGUUUUUGCAUUUUGACUCCAUCAAAAUGCAGCCACUGUGGCUGCAAUUUAAUCCCGCAGUCUCAUGCUUAGCACCAGUUCUGCUUUAGCCAUUCAUGAUGGGUGUUAUAAAACGUAACCUGUAUUGUGAAAGAAAAUUCAGUUGGUAGUGGCACUUGGUUUGGAUAAACUUUAUUUUGUGUAUGUACGUGCACCCUUCUCGCUGUCUAUUUUUUACAUUUCUUCUUCAUACAGUGGUAAAGAAGAAGGCAAAUAACAGUAAAGAUAUUCACACAUCAUUCAACACACAGGCUUCUCAGCCACAAGCACCACCUGCACAAUGUGUUUGUGCACCGUACAUUACACAGAACAUUUCGAUUAACUGCAGUCUCAAGUGCCCAAUGUUAAACGUCUAACAUGUCAUUCAAGUGUGUACCGGGCACUGUUUUGUCAGGGACCCAAUAUAUUUUCUUCUUUGAAGAGAACAUUUAGUAACAUCUGGGUGCUUGCUGUGUGCACCUUUCUGGUAGUUCUAGGAUCGCGCUCAACAAAACUCUUGCGAUAUCCAUCCAAACUAGUAUAACAAAAGGUGUACAGUACUAUAUUACUGUCAUGAACAAAUAGAGACUACUUAUUAACUAUACUGGGUGUUAAAAAACAAUUUUAUGUGGAUAAUAAAUACAUAUUUUCUCAGAUAAGGGGAUUCAAGUAAUAUUAGUCUCAGUAAAUUACAGAUGUACAUCUUCAAAUUCUUAAUGAACAUGCCAACAAAAUUUAAUGCAAAUUUUUUUCUUUACUUUGGAAUCAUGCGAUUGCCAACGUGCACCUACCUCAUGCAGGAAGAAUAUUUGGCAGAAGCUUCGUAAGUAGCACCAGCUUAAAGAUAUUCCACAUGCAGUGACAUCCUGCUCUCUAUUCUCCCACCUAACUAUGUUUGGUCAGUGUGUGAAAAUUUUGCGUGCAACUUUUAAUUUCAAUGCACAUUUCUUGAAGCUGCUGCCAAUUGAGAUACCUACUAACGAAUACUUUGUUGACUAGCUAGCUUUGACUUUCAUUACUACAUGGCCUCUAAAAGUAAUAGGUAAAAAUCUAAUUAGCAAGCUGUUUGCAUGUUCAUAAGCAAUUUCAAGAUAUGCACCUGAUGUCCACCACAGCAAAUAAAGGAUUACUGGAAGAAAUGCACAGAUAUAUACAACUCUUUCUUUACAUCUACUUGACUGAAGCACAUGGUGUGUGUAAAAGCUACUGCAGUGUUGCACUAUACAUAUACUACCUGAUGUCCUGAGAGAGCCAGAUGGUUUGGCAUCCAUUCACAAGUUACAACACAGACGACAUAUCUGCAUUCCAGUGCAGUUUGCACUCCUUGAGAAGCUUUUGUUUCCACAAGAUAGAAAACUGCUAAGAGUGAAAUGUUUCUGGCUUGGUUACAAGUGAAAAAAGACCUAGGUGCCUUUAUAACGCCAAACAGCUCAAGCGCUGACAAGUAAAAGAAGCCUAUGGAUUGAAAUGUAUAAAUCUCUUGCCAUCACAAGAGGUGCAUGUUUCCUUGUGAAGUAAUUUAUUCCUUGUACCUUAGACUCUUCAAUGAAGCAUUGUUUAAGGGGGGUUACAUGACCAAUAACACAUAAUAAUACUACAUAACUUCCGUCACAAGCUUGAGGUGAAUUUUUUGCAAUAGUGCUGUAUUAUGGAUUAGUCCGAUUAGUCCAUAGUUUGUUUAUUUUGUGAUGUAUUGCAUUUUCUUCUUCACUUGCAGUCAAAUGCUCUUUUAGCACAUUUUUCGCAAACAUAUCUUGUGGUGUUGCAUUUUUUUGUUCACUUGCAUUGGAACCUUGUUUUGUAUUUUGCUUUGUUGCGUUACAUUUUGAUGUUACUA